RNAcentral lists this ribosomal RNA (253 nucleotides) under uncultured bacterium. RNAcentral's name for it is "partial 16S ribosomal RNA". It matches the Rfam family "Bacterial small subunit ribosomal RNA", at positions 524 to 776 of the family's 1533-position model. The record is from RNAcentral.
UACAGAGGUCCCAAGCGUUGUUCGGAUUUACUGGGCGUAAAGGGUGCGUAGGCGGCCAAAAAAGUCUGAUGUGAAAUCUUGGAGCUCAACUCCGAAACUGCAUUGGAUACUGGUUGGCUUGAGGAGUGGAGGGGAGACUGGAAUUCUCGGUGUAGCAGUGAAAUGCGUAGAUAUCGAGAGGAACACCAGUGGCGAAGGCGAGUCUCUGGACAUUUCCUGACGCUGAGGCACGAAAGCCAAGGGAGCAAACGGG